RNAcentral lists this ribosomal RNA (442 nucleotides) under uncultured bacterium. Its description in RNAcentral is "partial 16S ribosomal RNA". It matches the Rfam family "Bacterial small subunit ribosomal RNA", at positions 338 to 795 of the family's 1533-position model. The record is from RNAcentral.
CCUACGGGAGGCAGCAGUGAGGAAUAUUGGGCAAUGGGCGCAAGCCUGACCCAGCAACGCCGCGUGAAGGAAGAAGGCUUUCGGGUUGUAAACUUCUUUUAAGAGGGAAGAGCAGAAGACGGUACCUCUUGAAUAAGCCACGGCUAACUACGUGCCAGCAGCCUCGGUAAUACGUAGGUGGCAAGCGUUAUCCGGAUUUAUGGGGUGUAAAGGGGGUGUAGGGGGGAAAGCAAGUCAGCUGUGAAAACCCAGGGCUCAACCCUGAGCCGGCAUUUGAAACUGUUUUUCUUGAGUGCUGGAGAGGCAAUCGGAAUUCCGGGUGUAGCGGUGAAAUGCGUAGAUAUACGGAGGAACACCAGUGGCGAAGGCGGAUUGCUGGACAGUAACUGACGCUGAGGCGCGAAAGCGUGGGGAGCAAACAGGAUUAGAUACCCGUGUAGUC